This 70-nucleotide transfer RNA is filed under the name Enithares tibialis. RNAcentral's name for it is "tRNA-Ser". It matches the Rfam family "tRNA". Rfam says of the family: Transfer RNA (tRNA) molecules are approximately 80 nucleotides in length. Their secondary structure includes four short double-helical elements and three loops (D, anti-codon, and T loops). The record is from RNAcentral. Lineage: Eukaryota; Metazoa; Arthropoda; Insecta; Hemiptera; Notonectidae.
AGUUAAAAAGCUUUAAGAUAAGCAUAUAUUUUGAAAAUAUAAGAAAAAGGUUAAAUUCCUUUAUUAACUU